RNAcentral lists this ribosomal RNA (406 nucleotides) under uncultured bacterium. RNAcentral's name for it is "partial 16S ribosomal RNA". It matches the Rfam family "Bacterial small subunit ribosomal RNA", at positions 30 to 526 of the family's 1533-position model. The record is from RNAcentral.
AUUGAACGCUAGCGGGAUGCUUAACACAUGCAAGUCGAACGAGUGGCGGACGGGUGAGUAAUGUCUGGGAACUUGCCCGAUAGCGGGGGAUAACUACUGGAAAGGGUGGCUAAUACCGCAUACCAUUCGAUGGGCCCAGAUGGGAUUAGCUAGUUGGUGGGGUAAAGGCUCACAAAGGCGACGAUCCCUAGCUGGUUUGAGAGGAGGACCAGCCACACUGGGACUGAGACACGGUCCAGACUCCUACGGGAGGCAGCAGUGGGGAAUAUUGGACAAUGGGCGAAAGCCUGAUGCAGCCAUGCCGCGUGUAUGAUGAAGGCCUUCGGGUUGUAAAGUACUUUCGGCAGAGAAGCGGUACCUGCAGAAUAAGCACCGGCUAACUACGUGCCAGCAGCCGCGGUAAUAC